RNAcentral lists this long non-coding RNA (228 nucleotides) under Erythranthe guttata (spotted monkey flower). RNAcentral's name for it is "long non-coding RNA (EGUT_LNC001512)". The record is from RNAcentral. Lineage: Eukaryota; Viridiplantae; Streptophyta; Magnoliopsida; Lamiales; Phrymaceae.
UCUGGUUGCGAAUUUCUUUUUGCUUUGAAGAAGAAGCCAUGACUAUACAUAUAUCUCAACAAUAUAUCGACUUGGGUUAACUAUUCUAGACUCACAUAAAAACAAUGACAAUGAAAUCCAUCAUAAAUAAUUUACACACAUAAUAUAUUUUUCACAACAAAUAAAAACAUAGAAUAAUUAUUGGAUAAUGUAGUUGAAACUAUAAAAUGAACAGAGCAAAGGCUUAUA